AGGGAAUUGAAACAUCUUAGUACCUGGAGGAAGAGAAAGAAACCUCGAUUCCGUCAGUAGCGGUGAGCGAAAGCGGAUGAGCCUAAACCUCUGACUACGUUACAGAUCUGGAUCGCUGUAGCAGAGGUGUUGUAGGACUUACGGGUGCAGUUCAGAAUGCAUCGAGGAGUUACAAAGAUUAGUGGUAGUGGAAUGGUUUUGGAACAGCCAACCAAAGAGGGUGAUAGUCCCGUAGACGAAACUGCUAGUUCUCCUGUAAGUAUCCUGAGUACCACGGGACACGUGUAAUUUUGUGGGAAACCGCGGGGACCACCCCGCAAGGCUAA
RNAcentral lists this ribosomal RNA (326 nucleotides) under Leptospira meyeri. Its description in RNAcentral is "partial 23S ribosomal RNA". It matches the Rfam family "Bacterial large subunit ribosomal RNA", at positions 187 to 469 of the family's 2925-position model. Lineage: Bacteria; Pseudomonadati; Spirochaetota; Leptospiria; Leptospirales; Leptospiraceae. The record is from RNAcentral.